UAGCUCACUGGUCGAGUCGGCCUGCGCGGAAGAUGUAACGGGGCUAAACCAUGCACCGAAGCUGCGGCAGCGAACGUAUCACCCAAGACAACUUUACGGAGUUGACGAUUGACGGAGCGAAGCGACGUCAAAGCGUUCAUUAAAGUCGAGUUGGCUUAGGGAUACGUUCGUUGGGUAGGGGAGCGUUCUGUAAGCCUGUGAAGGUGUGUCGUGAGGCAUGCUGGAGGUAUCAGAAGUGCGAAUGCUGACAUAAGUAACGAUAAA
This 264-nucleotide ribosomal RNA is filed under the name Salmonella enterica subsp. enterica serovar Worthington str. BCH-4719. Its description in RNAcentral is "partial 23S ribosomal RNA". It matches the Rfam family "Bacterial large subunit ribosomal RNA", at positions 1138 to 1316 of the family's 2925-position model. Lineage: Bacteria; Pseudomonadati; Pseudomonadota; Gammaproteobacteria; Enterobacterales; Enterobacteriaceae. The record is from RNAcentral.